CCCCCAUAGCUUACCCAAAGCAUGGCACUGAAGAUGCCAAGACGGUACCUAC
Molecule: transfer RNA, 52 nt
Filed under: Bonasa umbellus (ruffed grouse)
Lineage: Eukaryota; Metazoa; Chordata; Aves; Galliformes; Phasianidae
Description: partial tRNA-Phe
Source: RNAcentral